UACGGAGGGUGCAAGCGUUGUUCGGAAUCAUUGGGCGUAAAGCGCGUGUAGGCGGCUUGGCAAGUCGGUUGUGAAAGCCCGGGGCCCAACCCCGGAAUUGCAUCUGAAACUGCCUCGCUAGAGUCCCGGAGAGGAAGGCAGAAUUCCCGGUGUAGGGGUGAAAUCCGUAGAUAUCGGGAGGAAUACCAGCGGCGAAGGCGGCCUUCUGGACGGUGACUGACGCUGAGACGCGAAAGCGUGGGGGGCAAACAGG
This 253-nucleotide ribosomal RNA is filed under the name uncultured bacterium. RNAcentral describes it as "partial 16S ribosomal RNA". It matches the Rfam family "Bacterial small subunit ribosomal RNA", at positions 524 to 776 of the family's 1533-position model. The record is from RNAcentral.